CCUACUUUUGCUGGAAAUUCCAGGUCCUCUCAUCCGCCGCGGGGGCAACGUAUUUUUUCAGCGUGAGUCGUCAUCAGUCUCUCUCUCUUUCUCUCUUCAGAGUCCAAAUUUUUCAGCAGAGCGAAGCGCGAGGAAUAAGACAAGGGGAAGAGACCAUAUGGCGUCAAUUCCAGAGAGGAGGGGGCGAAUUGGCUUAAAGAAUUCGACCAGCGAUCGCUGCGGAGGCAGAAGCGACACGGAGAAAAGUCCAAGAGGGCCGAGAAAUAUGAGGAAUCAUAGUUUAUUUUGAUGGUGAAGGACGCGGAAAGAGCUCUUGCGGCAGAGACAGAUGGCGGAGACAAUCUCUAGCCGGUCCGUCGAGGGAUUCCUUUUGUUAUAUGCACUGAGAUCGUCGUCCCUCUAAGUGGGUUCUUAUAAAUGUGGCUGUUUUCUGCUUGCAUUUGCGUGUCCGAGCACUCGUGGAAGCUGCUGUCAUUUGCUGCUGCUAGAUGAUUCGUUUUGAUCCAGAGACUAAUAUGGAUGAGCAGAGUGAUGGCCCUGCUCCUAAGUGGACUAAAGGCACUCAAAUUUUGAUCACUUUCAUCACCAUGUUUUUAGUAUGCUCUCCCAUCUUAUCUGUCGAGUGUACUGCAAUCAGUGUAUGGCCAAAACCAAGAGCAUUUUCAUGGCCAACUCAACAAGCGACCUUACUUUCUCCUUCUUUUACCAUCGAAUCUCCCCAUCACCAAUACCUCUCAACUUCUGUUAACCGCUACCUUAAUCUCAUUCUCUCCGAGCAUUUCCAUCCUCUUUCCAAUCAGCAUGUCAACAUGACAAAUGGCCCCACUUUGCAAACUCUGGUUGUAUUGGUCAAUGAUCUAGCUGCUCCUCUCAGCCAUGGCGUGAAUGAAUCCUACAGCCUUAGCAUCCCCACCUCAGGUGACAAAGCUAGCCUGAUUGCCGAGACAGUAUGGGGUGCUAUGAGGGGUCUUGAGACAUUCUCCCAGCUUGUGUGGGGUAAGCCCUCGUGGGUGGCUGUUGGAGUGGAGGUGCAGGAUUGGCCAAUCUUUUCUUAUAGAGGGAUAAUGCUGGAUACCUCGAGAAACUACUAUAAAGUUGAAGACAUCCUAAGGACCAUUGGAGCAAUGAGUGCCAACAAGCUCAAUGUUUUUCAUUGGCACAUCACUGACUCGCAUUCAUUCCCUUUGCUGUUGCCUUUAGAACCUGAUCUAGCAGCUAAGGGAGCCUAUGGGUCUGACAUGCAAUACUCACCAGCUGAUGUCAGGCGAAUCGUUGAAUUUGGCCUGGAACAUGGGGUUCGUGUAUUGCCAGAAUUGGACAUGCCUGGUCAUACAGGAUCGUGGGCUGAAGCUUAUCCAGAAAUUGUAUCCUGUGCAAACAUGUUUUGGUGGCCAGAAGGAAGUGAAUGGGCAGAUCGGCUAGCAUCAGAACCUGGAACGGGUCAUCUUAACCCAUUGAACCCAAAGACCUAUCAAGUUCUCAAGAAUGUCAUUCGUGAUGUGGUGACAUUAUUCCCAGAUCAAUUCUACCAUGCUGGAGCUGAUGAGAUCAUACCUGGCUGUUGGAAAGCCGAUCCAACAAUUCAGGCAUUCCUGUCGAGUGGUGGCACUUUGAGUCAGCUACUUGAGACAUUUGUGAACUCCACCUUACCUUAUAUUUUGUCUCUUAAUAGGACUGCUGUCUACUGGGAAGAUGUCUUGUUAGAUCCGAUUAUCAAGGUGGAUAAAUCACUUCUUCCCCCAGAGCACACCAUCUUGCAGACAUGGAAUAAUGGUCCCAAUAACACAAAAAAGAUCGUCUCAUCUGGAUACCGAGCGAUUGUGUCAUCAUCAGAUUUCUACUACUUGGACUGUGGGCAUGGUGACUUUCUUGGAAAUGAUAGUCAAUAUGACCAGCCGCCAGGAAGUAAUCAGGGGAAUGGUGGUUCAUGGUGUGGACCUUUCAAAACAUGGCAAACUAUAUACAAUUAUGAUAUAACAUACGGUUUAACUGAGGAGGAAGCAACACUGGUGCUUGGUGGAGAGGUUGCACUCUGGUCAGAGCAGGCGGACCCAACUGUUCUAGAUGCACGUAUCUGGCCUAGAGCUUCAGCAGUGGCAGAAAGCAUGUGGUCAGGGAACCGGGACAAGAAUGGGAUGAAGAGAUACGCUGAAGCAACUGAUCGUUUGAAUGAAUGGAGGAGUAGAAUGGUCAGCAGAGGGAUUGGUGCAGAGCCCAUUCAGCCACUUUGGUGCAUAAGGAACCCAGGGAUGUGCGAUGCGUUUCAUCCAUUUGUUUAGUUGCUAUUGUGACCACAGUAAAAUGAAAAUGUGCAGAGCUCGACCUCAAGGAGGAUGGUUGACAUGAGCCCUAGGAUAAUUCACUUGUUGAGUGGUGUGGAGCUUUUGCUCUCUUUCCUUAGAGGGCAUGGGUUUAAAACCAGCUGCCAGCAAUCAGGUCGCUUUUUCAGAAAUUAACAAGAUGUUGAACUGGUUCACCAGUUUGCUCCUCAACCAGGGUCUAAUCCUGGUUCUGAGGAAACUCGCUGUUGAAGAAAACCCCUCAACCCGAUUCAUCCCGUUGAACAGCUAAGUCCACCUGCAUAUCUUGUGCUACAUGAUGCUAUUUCUUCGGUUAAAUGAGUAAAGGCUGGGGUCAAUGCCCUUUGUUUCUUAACAGUUACAAUGGUGCUGGAGGAGUUGCAACGGAUGAAAUGAGCCUGAUUUUGUCAGAUGAUUGCAUGGUCUAUCACCUCGAUGUUAACCAGAUGAUAAUAGUUUGAAAAUGCGCCUGGGACUUGUACAUAUAUGUUUUCCUCCAUGCGAAGGCCUACGGCUACCGACAACCUAUCUGAGGAUACAGAUGCAUGACUGUGGGUUUGGAUUGAGAUCCGUCUUUUUAGUUCAUACAUGAAAGGAGACGAAUUUUUCUGCGUUAACAGUUGCAAGGUCAGACUUGUACAAGGGGGGAAUUGGACUGGAUUGAUAAUUAGUCACGUUUCGAGGAGUGAACUCGACUUUCCUUUGGCCCUAAUCUUGGGCUGCAGUCGCCACAGAGGCAAUGCAUGCUGCUUGGUUAUCACACUUUGCUUUGCACAAGAGGAUGCUGAUUUUGGUGUUUCUUCAAUAUUGGAUGGUCGGGCUCCGCUGAGAUCUGACGCUGCCAAAUCUUAGCUUGAUGUCUGUGACGUAUGUUGCGUCUGCUUUCUUGUGCUGAGUGAAAUUUUUUGGUAUUGGUUCUUCUUUCCCAUUUCUCAAGAGUUGGUUUGUUUUGCUGGUGAUGUGCAUUGCUAGUUCUUCAAUGCAUGAUACAGCUUUGUCACUGCAUUUAUCAAAGGUUAUUGUGGAUGAAAUUCUUCCUC
Eucalyptus grandis is the source of this 3340-nucleotide RNA transcript. It is a transcript of the gene named beta-hexosaminidase 2, with no coding region annotated. The transcript has 6 exons. NCBI's taxonomy places the organism in Eukaryota, Viridiplantae, Streptophyta, Magnoliopsida, Myrtales, Myrtaceae. The record is from RefSeq and is a predicted model, not a curated record.